RNAcentral lists this ribosomal RNA (1490 nucleotides) under uncultured Bordetella sp. Its description in RNAcentral is "partial 16S-23S ribosomal RNA intergenic spacer". It matches the Rfam family "Bacterial small subunit ribosomal RNA". The record is from RNAcentral. Lineage: Bacteria; Pseudomonadati; Pseudomonadota; Betaproteobacteria; Burkholderiales; Alcaligenaceae.
AGUUCGAUUUAUGGCUCAGAUUGAACGCUGGCGGGAUGCUUUACACAUGCAAGUCGAACGGCAGCACAGACUUCGGUCUGGUGGCGAGUGGCGAACGGGUGAGUAAUGUAUCGGAACGUGCCUAGUAGCGGGGAUAACUACGCGAAAGCGUAGCUAAUACCGCAUACUGCCCUUCGGGGAAAGCGGGGGGACCUUCGGGCCUCGCACUAUUAGAGCGGCUUGAUAUCGGAUUAGCUAGUUGGUGGGGUAACGGUCACCAUGACGAUCCGUAGCUGGUUUGAGAGGACGUGACCAGCCGCCACACUGGGAUCGAGACACGGCCCAGACUACGGGAGGCAGCAGUGGGGGAAUUUUGGACAAUGGGGGGAAAACCCUGGAUCCAGCCAUCCCGCGUGUGCGAUGAAGGCCUUCGGGUUGUAAAGCACUUUUGGCAGGAAAAAGAAACGGCACGGGAUAAUACCCCGUGCAACUGACGGUACCUGCAGAAUAAGCACCGGCUAACUACGUGCCAGCAGCCGCGGUAAUACGUAGGUGCAAGCGUUAAUCGGAAUUACUGGGCGUAAAAGCGUGCGCAGGCGGUUCGAAAGAAAGAUGUGAAAUCCCAGAGCUUAACUUUGAACUGCAUUUUUAACUACCGAGCUAGAGUGUGUCAGAGGAGGGAAUUCCGCGUGUACAAGGGAAAUGCGUAGAUAUGCGGAGGAACACCGAUGGCGAAGGCAGCCUCCUGGGAUAACACUGACGCUCAUGCACGAAAGCGUGGGGAGCAACAGGAUUAGAUACCCUGGUAGUCCACGCCCUAAACGAUGUCAACUAGCUGUUGGGGCCUUCGGGCCUUGUAGGCGCAGUUAACGCGUGAAGUUGACCGCCUGGGGAGUACGGUCGCAAGAUUAAAAACCUCAAAGGAAUUGACGGGGACUCCGCACAAGCGGUGGAUGAUGUGGAUUAAUUCGAUGCAACGCGAAAAACCUUACCUACCCUUGACAUGUCUGGAAUCCCGAAGAGAUUUGGGAGUGCCUGCAAGAGAACCGGAACACAGGUGCUGCAUGGCUGUCGUCAGCUCGUGUCGUGAGAUGUUGGGUUAAGUCCCGCAACGAGCGCAACCCUUGUCAUUAGUUGCUACGAAAGGGCACUCUAAUGAGACUGCCGGUGACAAACCGAGGAAGGUGGGGAUGACGUCAAGUCCUCAUGGCCCUUAUGGGUAGGGCUUCACACGUCAUACAAUGGUCGGGACAGAGGGUCACCAACCCGCGAGGGGGAGCCAAUCCCAGAAACCCGAUCGUAGUCCGGAUCGCAGUCUGCAACUCGACUGCGUGAAGUCGGAAUCGCUAGUAAUCGCGGAUCAGCAUGUCGCGAAUACGUUCCCGGUCUUGUACACACCGCCCGUCACACCAUGGGAGUGGGUUUUACCAGAAGUAGUUAGCCUAACCGUAAGGAGGGCGAUUACCACGGUAGGAUUCAUGACUGGGGUGAAGUCGUAACAAGGUAACCCC